This 460-nucleotide ribosomal RNA is filed under the name uncultured bacterium. RNAcentral's name for it is "partial 16S ribosomal RNA". It matches the Rfam family "Bacterial small subunit ribosomal RNA", at positions 338 to 795 of the family's 1533-position model. The record is from RNAcentral.
CCUACGGGAGGCAGCAGUGAGGAAUAUUGGUCAAUGGGCGGAAGCCUGAACCAGCCAAGUAGCGUGCAGGAUGACGGCCCUACGGGUUGUAAACUGCUUUUAUACGGGAAUAACGCGCCUUACGUGUAGGGCUUUGCAUGUACCGUAUGAAUAAGGACCGGCUAAUUCCGUGCCAGCAGCCGCGGUAAUACGGAAGGUCCGGGCGUUCUCCGGAUUUAUUGGGGUUAAAGGGAGCGUAGGCCGCAUGUCAAGCGUGCUGUGAAAUGUCCGGGCUCAACCCGGGCCUUGCAGCGCGAACUGGCGUGCUUGAGUCCGCGGAAAGCAGGCGGAAUUCGUGGUGUAGCGGUGGAAUGCUUAGAUAUGACGAAGAACCCCGAUUGCGAAGGCAGCUUGCUGCAGCGGAACUGACGCUGAUGCUCGAAAGCGCGGGUAUCGAACAGGAUUAGAUACCCCUGUAGUC